RNAcentral lists this transfer RNA (63 nucleotides) under Mylabris calida. RNAcentral describes it as "tRNA-Leu". It matches the Rfam family "tRNA". Rfam says of the family: Transfer RNA (tRNA) molecules are approximately 80 nucleotides in length. Lineage: Eukaryota; Metazoa; Arthropoda; Insecta; Coleoptera; Meloidae. RNAcentral also lists the same sequence under 1 other name. The record is from RNAcentral.
GUUACUUUGGCAGAAUAGUGCAAUAAAUUUAGAAUUUAUAAAUGUAAGGGAUUACAGGUAACA